AAAACCGUGGGGCGGGGAUGUCAGGCGCCUGCUACCAUGCACGUCGAACGAUGAACCACUUCGGUGGGGAUUAGUGGCGAACGGGUGAGUAACACGUGGGCAAUCUGCCCUGCACUCUGGGACAAGCCCUGGAAACGGGGUCUAAUACCGUGAUACUGACCAUCUUGGGCAUCUUUGAUGGUCGAAAGCUCCGGCGGUGCAGGAUGAGCCCGCGGCCUAUCAGCUAGUUGGUGAGGUAAUGGCUCACCAAGGCGACGACGGGUAGCCGGCCUGAGAGGGCGACCGGCCACACUGGGACUGAGACACGGCCCACACUCCUACGGGAGGCAGCAGGGGGGAAUAUUGCACAGUGGGCGAAAGCCUGAUGCAGCGACCCCGCGUGAGGGAUGACGGCCUUCGGGUUGUAAACCUCUUUCAGCAGGGAAGAAGCGAAAGUGACGGUACCUGCAAAAGAAGCGCCGGCUAACUACGUGCCAGCAGCCGCGGUAAUACGUAGGGCGCAAGCGUUGUCCGGAAUUAUUGGGCGUAAAGAGCUCGUAGGCGGCUUGUCACGUCGGUUGUGAAAGCCCGGGGCUUAACCCCGGGUCUGCAGUCGAUACGGGCAGGCUAGAGUUCGGUAGGGGAGAUCGGAAUUCCUGGUGUAGCGGUGAAAUGCGCAGAUAUCAGGAGGAACACCGGUGGCGAAGGCGGAUCUCUGGGCCGAUACUGACGCUGAGGAGCGAAAGCGUGGGGAGCGAACAGGAUUAGAUACCCUGGUAGUCCACGCCGUAAACGGUGGGCACUAGGUGUGGGCAACAUUCCACGUUGUCCGUGCCGCAGCUAACGCAUUAAGUGCCCCGCCUGGAGAGUACGGCCGCAAGGCUAAAACUCAAAGGAAUUGACGGGGGCCCGCACAAGCGGCAGAACAUGUGUUUUAAUUCGACGCAACGCGAAGAACCUUACCAGGGCUUGACAUACCCCGGAAAGCAUCAGAGAGGGCGCCCCCUUGGGGUCGGUGUACGGGUGGUGCAUGGCUGUCCUCCCCUCGUGUCGAGAGAUGUUGGGUUACUCCCCCAACGAGCGCACCCUUGCCCGUGUGCCAGCACCCCUUCGGGGUGUGGGGA
This 1103-nucleotide ribosomal RNA is filed under the name Streptomyces sp. AHA1. RNAcentral describes it as "bacterial SSU rRNA". It matches the Rfam family "Bacterial small subunit ribosomal RNA", at positions 1 to 1137 of the family's 1533-position model. The record is from RNAcentral. Lineage: Bacteria; Bacillati; Actinomycetota; Actinomycetes; Kitasatosporales; Streptomycetaceae.